AUUGAACGCUGGCGGAAUGCUUACACAUGCAAGUCGAACGGCAGCACGGACUUCGGUCUGGUGGCGAGUGGCGAACGGGUGAGUAACAUAUCGGAACGUAUCCAAUAAUGGGGGAUAACGAGUCGAAAGAUUCGCUAAUACCGCAUACGCCCCACGGGGGAAAGCUGGGGACCUUCGGGCCUGGCGUUAAUGGAGCGGCCGAUAUCUGAUUAGCUAGUUGGUGAGGUAAAGGCUCACCAAGGCGACGAUCAGUAGCUGGUCUGAGAGGACGACCAGCCACACUGGAACUGAGACACGGUCCAGACUCCUACGGGAGGCAGCAGUGGGGAAUUUUGGACAAUGGGCGCAAGCCUGAUCCAGCCAUUCCGCGUGAGUGAAGAAGGCCUUCGGGUUGUAAAGCUCUUUCGCAAGGGAAGAAAACUUAGCCACUAACAUUGGUUGAGGUUGACGGUACCUUGAUAAGAAGCACCGGCUAACUACGUGCCAGCAGCCGCGGUAA
Molecule: ribosomal RNA, 499 nt
Filed under: uncultured bacterium
Lineage: Bacteria
Description: partial 16S ribosomal RNA
Rfam family: Bacterial small subunit ribosomal RNA
Source: RNAcentral